GCCUGCCCGCCUACCCGCCUGCCUUCCUCCCCCCGUUUCUCCCUCAGCCUUUGCUUUUGCGCCUCUUUGUCCCUGUGAGAAGCCACCACCGUGCUCCAUCUCUCUCUCACAACGCGGCACCGCUCUUUUCUAUGCUUCUCCUCUUCUUCCCCACCUCAGUGCCUCACUCACCCCAACUUGGGCUCUUCUGCUGCAGGCGGCUCUGUGUGAGUUCAGGAGACAUCCUAAGACUGCAAGAUAAUUUGUGGAAGCACCAUGAGUUGCAACAGGAGAAGAAGCUGUACACUACAAAUUACAGCCACUAAUAGGAACACAGAUGGCCAGUGGAGAAAUUGGUACAUGCUUUUCCAUGUGAAAAAUUUAAUUUCUGCAGAGAAUUCAGAAUGGGAGGCCCAAGGCAAA
Molecule: long non-coding RNA, 402 nt
Organism: Podarcis raffonei (Aeolian wall lizard)
Lineage: Eukaryota; Metazoa; Chordata; Lepidosauria; Squamata; Lacertidae
Exons: 3
Source: RefSeq, a predicted model, not a curated record